AUGCGCGGGUUUAAGUUAUAAGAUGUCAUUCUUAAAAUUAGCAAGAAUUAAUUAUAAAUACUUUCAAAUAUUGUGGAUGGUUGGUUAUAUUAGUUAAGUAUAGCUACAUUUAAAAUACUGUAAAAUCAUUUUAUUGUUGCUUAGCAAAUAACUUUUUAAUAUGUAGCUAUCCAGCGCUAGGCAACCGUUUACAUGAUUUCGCAGUAUUUUUAAUGUAGCUAUCCUAAUCAAAUCAACCGUCCACAAUGUUUUAAAGUAUUUAUAAUGUAGCUAACCUAACCUAAUUGACCAUUAGUUAUCAUGAGUUGUAUAUUUAUUUACAAUGAAAAAAACAACCGAAGAUGAACGAUCGGACGUUUGGCUCUCUCGUCUGUUGAAAGAAGGCUUGCCAACUCGCGCAGAACGUACGUGGUAUGUGCUGCUCUCUGGUGAUAAGUGGCCGAGAUUAGCAACAGUUGGCAACAGGAGUAUCUACAGUUGGCAGGCCUGGAGCCUGGCUACGCUGACUGACGAUAAACAUAGCCACGUGCCGUGACUUUGCCAUCAUCUAGGAGCAUUUGUGUAUGAUGCACCUGACACAUUCUUCGUGCCACUUGGAUCGGAGUACGCGUCGCAUGUCCUGGAUAAGUGGGAAUACUAGCAGUUGGUAUGAUGCAGUACACUGUAUGUGUGGCCGCACAGCAGAGGAAACUCAAGGUCACCUCCGUGAAGCCUCCGCCGGGGUUAUUCCCAGCCCUGGUGCGGAUACCCGGACCACCACCAACCCUGGAGGAGCUCGUCCGACGCCAGGAGAACUGCCCGGAUCUGCGCUACGGCUUCCUUCUGCCGAGGGGACUCAGCGAACUGUUGCAGACCGCCCUUCCAAGUAUCAGCACAACCACCAUCAAGAGGCAAGAAAUUACCCUUCCCCUACAAGGGACCAUGAUGUUAGAAGAUAUCGAGAUGAAGACAUGGAAAAGUUGGCAUCCGAAUUCAAUGGAACUUCUUGUCUGACUACAGAUUUUAACAACCAGUUGUCUGGCGGUGAGGGCGUCCCGGGCUCCGAAGUGGAGCUGCCGUGGAGUCCUGUUCUGAAGACGAGGCGGACUUGCGGCUGUUCGUCGGUCGUCGGCUUCAGGACAGCCCUGCCGUCGAGAAGUCGUGUCGUGCAUCAAACAGCUAGUACAAGAAGAAAAAUUCUUCUGGGACAAUUUAAAUUAACUUUUUACACUAAUAAAUUCUUUUCACUAUUAAAAUCAAUCAGCUCUCUAAAAUAACACUAUGUGAAGACACAACAGUCUAACCAAUCCUAAGAAAGAGACAUUUUAUUUUUUUGUAGUCUGUACAUAAAUUAUUAUUGUCUAUUAUGUUAUUUCAUUUUUAAAAUCAAUUUUUUUUUUGUUUUUGUUAAAAGAAGUGUCAAACUUAAUUAAGGUAGGCUUUGAUGCCUCUAGUCCCAACAGGGAACCCGCUUUCACAGUUCACAGUACUUUAUGGUGGUGUUUUGAUUAUUUUCUUUCAAUUUUAAAUUUGAAUGCAGAAAUUAAAAUUUUAAAUUUUGUUUUUAUUAUUUUUAUUUUAGCUUAAUGGGACUCGAGUUCAGUUAGCAGGAAGUAAUGUCGCUUUCCAGAAUUUUUCGGUAUAGACGUCUUCAAAUUACUAUCUUUCUUGGUACAGGCUGGAUGCUGGCAUGAGAAACGUGGGGUCCUCUCAGAUAGUUUGUACCUUGACUAAAAAUGUCGGGCCGGCUUCACCGAACCCUUCUGGAAAGUAGGAGGGAUGGCGGACACUUUUCAAGCGCAAGUUCGAGUCAGCUCGGUUUAGGCUCACUGGGCGGGCUCCUGCCCGUCCUGGUGAUGAGUCGAGGUUGUUUGAGAUGUCAGUUGGCGUUUUAUGAUGUAAAUGUUUUAAAAUGACUGGGUGGGCACCGGCCACCCAGGUAUCUGUUCUAUUAAUUUCGCGUUGAUAAUUGUUUAAAGGUAAAAUGGCUAGUUAAAUCUACAAUGAGAACAGAGGCAGGGGAGCCCAGAACUUAAGAAAAGAUCCAAAUUCAUGUAAGUUAAAAUUUUUAUAUGUACAAGACUCAGUCGUUAGUAACUUUGUUUUUUAAGUAUUCUGUUUUGUCUCUUUAAGUGCCUAGUUUAAAAAUGUCUAAUUUACUAAAGUUCUGGUUUGUACUCCCUUAAUCUCAACUGGUCCUGUUAUUGAGAAUCUAAUUAAUGUUGACACCUCAAGCAAUUAUUUCGAAACUGAAAUGUAUAAGACUGUUAUUAUUAAUCUUUAUCUCUUUCAUAAUGUUUUUUUUUUAAAGAUAUAAGUUUUAAGUUAUUUAGAUUAAUUAUUUUAUAUUUUAUUUAAAACUAUGAAUAAUAAGAAGUCAUACCCUAGAACCUCCUGUAGAGGAGGGAAACAGAUCCUUGAUUUAAGUCUUAAUGUCGUAAAUCCUCUUGUAGCUCUACCAUAAUAAUGAUUUAAUUAUUUUUAUUCAUGAGUUACAUCAUUUUUUCCCCACAGAAAGAUACCAUUUGCUCUUAGUAGCUUGUGUUUUAUUUUUUGAUAUUAAACUAUCCUAUCAUUUUGUUACAUUUAGAUUAAAAUAUUUUAUUUAAAAAUCCACAUUUUGUUGCAAUAUUUCUCAGUACGAAUUCAGUUACUUAAAUAGCUCUUAUAUGAGUCAUAUAGCAGUUAGAAGUAGUGAUUUUGCAAGUGUGUUGAUCAUAUUUUCUUGUAAAUAUAAUAUUGUAGCACAUGCUACCCUUAUGUAAACUUGUAUAACCAUUGUAUUUCACCACUGUGCAAGCUAUAUGCUGCCUGCUGACAGCUCACAAACACUCAUCUUCCAGAAUCCAGAUUUUUUUUUUUUUUUUUGUUUCCCAUUCUAGUUUGUACAAAUUAGUGCUAAGGUUGUUUUAUCUCGUCAAGCUUUGAAGCUAUGUUAUUAGUAUGAGAAGACUGAGAGAAGAAAUAAUUACUUUUACAUAACUGACUGCAUGUAUAUAGCAAUAAGAUAUAGUGCAUUGUUAAUAUCAUGUAAAAAAUUUCUUUAUAACAAUUCUGUGGAAGUGAGCUGCUCUUCAGAUGUUGCAUGCAGAAUCAUGGUUUUUUUUAGCAUUGUUUUUGGUUGUAUUGUAAGCAGAUCGUCCAGUAGGAGUACAGCAAAGAAGUAUGUAUAAUAUGAAAUUGCAAUUAAAUACAGUAUCAUAUCAAAAUUUGUGAUGGAAUUAGCAGAUCUCUAUAGAACUACAAAGCUGAUUAGCAAAACCUUCCUGUAAUCAACACUUUACCUAACAUUGAAUAUUGUAUUUCUUCAGUGAGUGUAUUCCACAAACGCAUAUACUACAUGUGAUGAGUUUAUCCAGAGUUAGUGGUUUUAUGAGCUGUUUGCAAAUUGAGUUAUUCCUGAUGCAAGUUGGCCUGCUAAUGCAUGAUACCAUACCAUUUAAUUCUUGAUUUGAAGCCUAUCAAAAUGUUUAUACAUAUGUAUUUUCUCAGCGAUAUAAAUGUUAUUCUUCAAACAGCAGAACCAAUUGACUGUGACACUCAGAAGCAACAUUUCCUUAAUUAUAUUUGUAAAAAAAUAUGUUAUAAAUAAGUACAUAUUUGUAGUUUGUCUUGACGAACUAUCAUAAAACUUUAUGUUAUUAUUAUUGUUUGCUCUAUAUGCAAGUUUGGCAUACUUUAAAUUUUUUUUGUAUGAAUAAUUUAUUUGUGUUGAAGGGACGCAACUGUGUCUGUUGUCAUUUGGCGAGAAGUUUCUAUGUUAUUGAUCAACUUGUGCUUUAAGAAAUAUUCUAAGUUUGUUACAUGUGAAAAUUGUUUAUUAAAAGUAAAGAAUUAUUUUUCGGA
Long non-coding RNA from Bacillus rossius redtenbacheri, 3825 nucleotides. RefSeq lists it as uncharacterized. The record is from RefSeq and is a predicted model, not a curated record. Lineage: Eukaryota; Metazoa; Arthropoda; Insecta; Phasmatodea; Bacillidae. The transcript is spliced from 6 exons.